This 281-nucleotide small RNA is filed under the name Callithrix jacchus (white-tufted-ear marmoset). RNAcentral describes it as "Metazoan signal recognition particle RNA (ENSCJAG00000067555.2)". The record is from RNAcentral. Lineage: Eukaryota; Metazoa; Chordata; Mammalia; Primates; Cebidae.
GCUGGGCAUGGUAGCGUGUGCCUGUAGUCCCAGCUACUCGGGAGGCUGAGGCAGGAGAAUUGCUUGAACUCAGGAGGUAGAGGUUGCAGUGAGGCGAGAUUGUGACACUAUACUCCAGCCUGGGCGACAAGAGCAAGACUCCAUCCAAAAAAAAAAAAAUUAUAUCUCAGGUAACACGAACAGAUUCGCUCUGUCAACAGGUGCCAGGCUGGAGUGCAGUGGUGCGAUCUCAGCUCACUGCAACCUCUGCCUCCCAGGUUCAAGCAAUUCUCCUGCCUCAG